Molecule: long non-coding RNA, 877 nt
Filed under: Cricetulus griseus (Chinese hamster)
Lineage: Eukaryota; Metazoa; Chordata; Mammalia; Rodentia; Cricetidae
Description: lncRNA (ENSCGRG00015032972.1)
Source: RNAcentral
CGCGAGCCCAACACGGCUCUCGGAGGACUAGCCCCCCUCCCCCACCCCGCCCCCUGGCGCUAGCGUUCGGCCGCGCGCCCGCGCCACCUAGGGGCGGGGCCGAUGGGAGGGGCCUAUGCAAAUAUGUUUACGUUAAAAUUCGGCUUAGCUUCCCCGGUGGAGGAAAAAGUGUACUGCCUGGCGCCUGGCAUGGAUGCGGGGGAGGGGGGCUGCGGCUCCAGGAGGCGGGUCUCUAGCUUCUGUGCACCUUUAUUAAGAACGUCUACGGCUUUCGCCUCGGCGGAUAGUCUCACCGCUAGGCUCCUAGGCCCGGGCACUGCGUGUGCAUCGACCUGUGGAAGUCACACUUUGCAAAUUUCCUUCCUUCACCUUGCACGAAGGAAUGAGAUCUUUGGGAAACCGGGGAGUGGAGAGUGUAGGUCCCCGGAUUGACAAAACAAUCUGGGAGAAGUGCAUGCGUGCUUUGCACGUCCGUCGAAGCAGGAGAGCCCUUUCAACAUCCUAGCGGUAGACUAGGGGAUAGUAGGGAGACUGAAGCCGUGGAGUCGGGUUCCGGGAUUUUCAAGAGUAUGUUUGGCUGUAGAUUCUGGAGAAAGCCACAGAUCCUCUGGUUUUGAAAUAUGUAUACUACUACCUUCAUUGGCAUCAGAAGAAUGAAAGAUAACACAAAUCCAAGAUUCCUAGGACCAAGCCUUCCCCUCGUGGACACUUAAGAAAUGCUUACUAAUUCAGUUUCCCAGUCUGUUAUUGGGUCAAUAAAACAAACUUUGGUGCAUGCCACAUAUGUCAAGCUCAACACUGGUCACCAGAGGUGUCAUGCGGAGCAAGAUCUUGUUCCAUUGUCGUUGUUCCUGUUAGUCUAGUGAACUGCUUGCCU